UGCAAGUCGAGGGAGAAGCCCGCUUCGGUGGGUGGAAACCGGCGGAAGGGCGAGGAAUACGAUCGAACGUGCCCCGAGGUGGGGGAUAGCGUCGGGAAACUGACGGUAAUACCCCAUGUGCUCUCCGGAGGAAAGCUACGGCGCCUUGGGAGCGGCGAUCGUCCUAUCAGGUUGUUGGUGAGGUAACGGCUCACCAAGCCUCAGACGGGUAGCGGGUGUGAGAGCACGACCCGCUGCAUCGGGACUGAGACACUGCCCGGACUCCUACGGGAGGCUGCAGUAACGAAUCUUCCGCAAUGCACGAAAGUGUGACGGAGCAAUGCCGAGUGUGGGAUGAAGCGGUUUUGCCGUGUAAACCACUGUCAGGACCUAGGAAGAACUGACCAGGUCCAAAGGAAGGGCCGGCUAAUCUCGUGCCAGCAGCCGCGGUAAUACGAGAGGCCCGAGCGUUAGGCGGAAUCACUGGGCUUAAAGCGUGCGUAGGUGGAUUGGCAAGCGUCUUGUGAAAGCCCUCAGCUCAACUGAGGAAUUGCGGGGCGAACUGCCAGUCUUGAGGCAGGUAGAGGUCGUCGGAACGUUAGGUGGAGCGGUGAAAUGCGUUGAUAUCUAACGGAACACCGAAGGGGUAGCCAGGCGACUGGGCCUGUCCUGACACUGAGGCACGAAAGCGUGGGGAUCAAACAGGAUUAGAUACCCUGGUAGUCCACGCCGUAAACGAUGCGCACUAGAUCGCUGACGGUCUGACCCGUUGCCGGUCGCAGAGAAAUCAUUAAGUGCGCCGCCUGGGGAGUACGGUCGCAAGGCUAAAACUCAAAGGAAUUGACGGGGGCACACACAAGCGGUGGAGCAUGUUGCUUAAUUCGAAGCAACGCGAAGAACCUUACCAGGGUUUGACAUGCACGGAUUAGCUUUUGGAAACAGGAGUGACAC
Molecule: ribosomal RNA, 930 nt
Filed under: uncultured marine bacterium
Lineage: Bacteria
Description: bacterial SSU rRNA
Rfam family: Bacterial small subunit ribosomal RNA
Source: RNAcentral